CCUCCCCUCGCAGAUCCAUCCUUCCCCUCCCUCCUUCCCCUCUGGAAAGAUCGCCGUGCUCUACUCCUUCCUCCUUCCCCUCCGGCAAGAUCGUCGUGCUCUGCUCCUCCCUCCUUCCCCUCCGGCAAGAUCCCACAUCCAUCGAUCCAUCCUCAACCGGAACCCCUCUCCCGAUGCCAGAUCCAAUCCUCCUCCCUCCCUCCUCGCCCCGGCUCCCUGCUCCCCUCCCCUUCCAGAUCAGCGCCACCACCUCCCUCCUCCUCCCUCGCCCCGGUUCCCUGCUCCGCCGAGGCCGCCGUCGGGAGAUCCGACUUCGCCGACGGGAAUGGGGCCGGAUCCGCCACGCCCGAGCGCUCCAUCCUCGUCGACAGGGACGACUACAUCCUGGCCUUGGUGCUUCCGGCAGCGGCGGCUCAUCUCCUUCCUCGGGCACCACAACUUCAACCGCACCAUGGAUGUGUUGGUGACCCAGACGGACCUAGCCGAGCUGGUGGACACGGGCUCCUGGGACAAGGCCAUCGAGUACCUCUUCCGCUUCCUGCCCUCCGACCGCCUGCUGGGCGUCCACGGUCGCGCCCUCUUCCACUACCUCCGCAUGCACAAGGCCAUCGACGACGUGCUCGCCGGAGCCCCGGAGGCGCGCUCCGUCACCACCGCCCUCGACCAGUGCAUCAUCCGCCACCCCACCAAGAGCCACGCCGUCACCAGGCUCUGCGCCAUCUUCUCCUCCCUCCUCUGCUCCAAGCGAUACAGGUAAAAUACAACAUUGCUAGCUAUCACUGCAAGUCUGCAAUCGAUUCGAUAGAUAAAAUGAGCAUUGGUCCGUCAGAUGGGAUCUUGAUUUCGUUGUGUUGCUUAGGGCUGUUAUAAUGUCCGUGUCAGGUGUAGCUGCAGAGACGCUGGGCAGAGUGUAUGGAUACAAUGUCCAUGCGUGGAAGAACUAAAAUUCAGUUAAUGUCCAUGCUGUUAGUCAUAUAGUUUGUAGGAUCGGAGUGACUGCCUGCUGCCAUUUGCUUGUGUUCCAUCUUUGUUGAAUGUACCUACCAUCAUACCUGUGGUGUUUUAAGCAUCUUGGAUCUCAAUAUAUGGUGUCGAAACUGUUGAAAGAAAAUGAUGUAAGAGUUGUCCUGCUUGUUUUAAUUAUUUCCCUGGAUAUGUUUCUCUGUUUAGCUUUCUCGCUGGAAUGGCGCUCUGCUUUGUGAUGCGGAGCUUCUGAAUCUUUGUGGUGGAAUCUUGUUAUUUUAAUUAUAUGUCAUUGUAUCUCAUAUUUCUGCACUUUUUCUUCUGGAGUAGAAACAUUAAGGUUGAACUUACAGAAGCUUACCCAUAUCAUUCAUGUUCUCGGUGGUGGAUUACUACUGUAGUAUUAUGCUGUCUACUGCUUUUAACCUUGGAGUCUACUACUCUUAACAUAGCUCUGUUUUCACCUUUAGGCUCCAAGCAGAUCUGAAAGUCAGCCUCUCCAAUUUUCCUUGGAGUCUACUGCUCUUAACAUCAUUGUACUAUGUGCAGAAAGAACAUGAAUGAAAUCCUUGUCACUUCAUUUUCAGGUAAGACCGGAGCUGUAUGGAGAUAGUAAUGCUAGGUUCUUCACUUACUGGACAACUGAUGCGUACCAAGAGACGGGGUGCUACAACCACAACUGCCGUGGGUUUGUCCAGACGACCAACAAGAUAGCCAUCGGCGCGGCUAUCACGCCACAAUCGGUGUACAACGGGAGGCAGUUUGAUAUUAAUCUGAUGAUAUGGAAGCGUAAAGAGCUAUGUGACCCCUCCUGGAUGGGGCUUCGGUUGGACCUCUGAUUGGGCUCCCCAUAGACUUUGACCCAAGCAUCCUUGUGACAGGGUUUGUCGGAAUCGCCAUCGCUUUAGGGUGCUUCUCCGGUGCCGCCACCAUCACCAAGCGCAGGGAGUACCUGUACCUCGGUGGCCUGACCUCUUCUGGCAUGUCGAUCCUUCGACAUGAAACUCUCAAGAACGCAGGUGACAAGAAGAGGAAGAGGAUGUCCUGAACGUUUCUCCCGCACAUCGUAGAUACCACCAUCGCGGCCUUGUAGGAAUUAAGCUGGCGAUGUGCCACCCUUGUGUAUCUGUUUUUGAUUGUAUGUGGAAGUUGGACGUGCAUACGUGUAUUUGCUCUUGUGAGUAUUUGACUGGAUGAUCUUUGGAUUUAAUCAGUUAAUAGAAAGAUUUAUUGAUAUUUUGUUG
This is an RNA transcript of Triticum aestivum (bread wheat), 2207 nucleotides long. RefSeq lists it as uncharacterized. The transcript has 6 exons. NCBI's taxonomy places the organism in Eukaryota, Viridiplantae, Streptophyta, Magnoliopsida, Poales, Poaceae. The record is from RefSeq and is a predicted model, not a curated record.